UAUUGGGCAAUGGGCGCAAGCCCGACCCAGCAACGCCGCGUGAAGGAAGAAGUCUUUCGGGUNGUAAACUUCUUUUAUCAGGGACNNCGNNNGNGACGGUACCUGAUGAAUAAGCCACGGCUAACUACGUNNNAGCAGCCGCGGUAAUACGUAGGUGGCGAGCGUUAUCCGGAUUUACUGGGUGUAAAGGGCGUGUAGGCGGGAAUGCAAGUCAGAUGUGAAAACUAUGGGCUCAACCCAUAGCCUGCAUUUGAAACUGUAUUUCUUGAGUGCUGGAGAGGCAAUCGGAAUUCCGUGUGUAGCGGUGAAAUGCGUAGAUAUACGGAGGAACACCAGUGGCGAAGGCGGAUUGCUGGACAGUAACUGACGCUGAGGCGCGAAAGCGUGGGGAGCAA
RNAcentral lists this ribosomal RNA (395 nucleotides) under uncultured bacterium. Its description in RNAcentral is "partial 16S ribosomal RNA". It matches the Rfam family "Bacterial small subunit ribosomal RNA", at positions 362 to 771 of the family's 1533-position model. The record is from RNAcentral.